GCCUGCUCUCCAGUGUCUGAAAACAAAUGUUUUUCUGGUCUUCACUUUUUUGAGGCAGGAAGACACUCAAAGGUGAGAAUCAGUCCUAGGAAGAUUGUGAGCAACCAGUCUACAAUGCAAAUAUUAAGCAGGCUCAAAAGUAGAUCUGUAACUACAGCUGCAGCUCCAUCAAGGCAACAAGUGGACACAUCCUGGCAAAGUAUUUUAUAUAAAACAUUUGGUUUGCUCCUUCCAGAAACUGUAUGAGAAAAGUUUGCAUAUCAAAAUCCUACUGAUGAGAAAGUGGAACUCAACAAUGUUAAAUGAUUCGCCUGCCUAAGGUCACACGGUUAGUGACAGGGAGUCUAGAUUUCAGCCUAGUUUUGUUCAACUUCAAAGUCCAUGCUUUUAUUUGAUGGACACAUUAAAUUAUCCACCAUUGUAUCUAGACUGGGACACAGCCACAAUCUGAAAAUUGAAUUCUAAUUUAAUAAAUGUGCCCUCUGCCAGGAAAUAUGAGGAAUGGCUAUAGAAAUGAAGAAGAGUCUCCACCAUGAAGGAGCUUAUAAUAUUAAAUGUUACACUCCUUUUGGUCUAUUCAGUAAGUCUGAGGAAAAGAAUUGAAUUAGAAAACAUCUAAUUUCAUUCAUUCAUGUAACAAAUAUCAGUAAUUUUUGUAAUUUCAGAGAACAAUAUUAUAAUUUGGAAGGUGUUUAGGACACCUUGGGUAGUUUAUAAUAAGAGGUGAUAUAAAAUCAUCCAUUUCAAAAGUCAAUUGUCAAUGAAUAGAGCUUUCAACUGAGGCCAGGAUACGCAAACUGUAAAUGAGGCUUUAGACACAAAAAGUUAGUCUAGGCCAAGUGGUUUAGUGGAAGGAUCCUAGAUUUUAUAUCAGAAAACAUAAUCGUAUGUGGUCUGAACCAUUUAUGGCUUGGGAAAUUCACUUUAACUUUCAGAGCCUCUGUUUCCUCAUCAGUCAGUGCCUGUGACGAUAAAAGGAGACACAUAUGGACGUGCCUGGUACAUUUUAUGACCUAUUAGAAGAUUGUGAGGCCAGGAAGUAUGUACCUGCAGAAAUCUCAAAUUGUGACUUGCAGUGGAGGUGGAAUUCAAUUAUGAUUAAGAAUGUAGGUAAAUGUUUCAUUUUUUUUUAAAGAUGAAAACUAAGCCCAGGAAGCUUGAGUCAUCUGGAGAUGAAGCAGUUGCAGCAGAGCAGUCUUGGUAAUGGAGAAGAUCAUGUCAGCGCUGAGAAAGGCAGGGAGGGAGGCCUGAGCAAGGAAGCCUGGAGAAGCCUCUGGAGGAUGUCUGGCCAGGGCUGAAUGCUCAGAAAUGGAAGGGAAAGCUCAGGAGAUUAUCGCUGAAUCAAAGUGAGAACCUCUGAGGACAGGGGAAUUGGAUGGAGGUGCCCUUCAGAACUCAUGGAGAAAAGCACUGCUCCCAGUAAAAUAUCUCCCAUUCUAAUGAAUGGGAGGACUCUUCUCCAAGAGGCUGUGACUACCAAGGUUGCAAAUGCUCCACCUGAACUUGGGUGCAUGAGGGAUCUCUCUCUCUCUCACACACACAACCCCCCCACCCCACCCCGCCACCGCGUAAGAUGAAUUUCCGUUUGUGAGCUGCCUACAUUAAAUGCUUUGCUCCUGA
This 1620-nucleotide long non-coding RNA is filed under the name Pongo abelii (Sumatran orangutan). Its description in RNAcentral is "lincRNA". The record is from RNAcentral. Lineage: Eukaryota; Metazoa; Chordata; Mammalia; Primates; Hominidae.